Molecule: ribosomal RNA, 465 nt
Filed under: uncultured bacterium
Lineage: Bacteria
Description: partial 16S ribosomal RNA
Rfam family: Bacterial small subunit ribosomal RNA
Source: RNAcentral
GACGAACGCUGGCGGCGUGCUUAACACAUGCAAGUCGAACGGUAAGGCCCCUUCGGGGGUACACGAGUGGCGAACGGGUGAGUAACACGUGAGCAACCUGCCCUUGACUCUGGAAUAACAGUUGGAAACAGCUGCUAAUACUGGAUAUUCAUCGUCUCCUUCCUGGGGGGUGGUGGAAAGCUCCGGCGGUCAGGGAUGGGCUCGCGGCCUAUCAGCUUGUUGGUGAGGUAAUGGCUCACCAAGGCUUCGACGGGUAGCCGGCCUGAGAGGGCGACCGGCCACACUGGGACUGAGAUACGGACCAGACUCCUACGGGAGGCAGCAGUGGGGAAUAUUGCACAAUGGGCGCAAGCCUGAUGCAGCAACGCCGCGGGCGGGAUGACGGCCUUCGGGUUGUAAACCGCUUUCAGUAGGGACGAAGGGUGACUGACGGUACCUACAGAAGAAGGACUGGCUAACUACGUG